This 88-nucleotide non-coding RNA is filed under the name unclassified sequences. The record is from RNAcentral.
UUGUAUCUGCCACCGGGUAGAGAAUGCCUCGGCAUUCGAUCACGCAUCGUUAGGUCUUUGAAGAUGCGCGGUCGGGUGCCUUUUUUGA